RNAcentral lists this unclassified non-coding RNA (950 nucleotides) under Bombus terrestris (buff-tailed bumblebee). RNAcentral's name for it is "misc RNA ENSBTSG00005027340.1". Lineage: Eukaryota; Metazoa; Arthropoda; Insecta; Hymenoptera; Apidae. The record is from RNAcentral.
UCCGUUUCUAGUCGUUAUGGCCAAAACAUGGAGCAUAGAGGACAUAAGAGUUACUGAUGGAAAAGUCUCGUUAAAGUGGAUCCCGAAACAUUCGGCAAAUCCUCGAGCCACCAGUCGAGCUCCAUCCGGAUUGAACAUAUUUUGCACGACCUAAUUCCCCUGCAAUAGCCUACUUAAUAGGGCAUAAUCUUUAAAAGUUUCUAAAAACGAGACGUCUCUUGGCGCUAUUAUCUUUCUCUCUUCCUGGUUCCAGACCCUGUAUCCCACGGACAUGAAUAGCACGAAAGUAUUCCUUGUUUGGUACUUUUACGUUCCAGAUACAGCAAUCUUACACAGCUCCGACCACGUAAAACUCGCAACUAUGGAACAUGUACUCGUCAGAUGGCCGAGUCAACACGGACAAGAUAUCGGUCAUGAACUACGUAGCGUUCAGUUCGACGAUUCCGUCCAAUAAACUAUUCUAUUCCUAUUUUCGAAUAAAUUUAACCCAUAUAAAAGAUUCAAUGUAUUUCCCUUCUUAAGCUAUCGUGUCGAAAUAGUCUUAUUUCCCUAUCUUCCAUAUAGUUUUAGUAUCGUCUUACUUAAUCUAGCUCCUGUCAUCUUCUAUUUUUUUCUUUCUAUCUAUAUCUUGUUUCUUCAUUUUUCGUUUCCUUUGGUACAAAGCAGCGAAUAUAAAAUUAUAAAAUUAUAAAAUAUAAACUAUAUCGUGUAUUUUGUAUUCGUUAUUACAUUCCCCAAUAAAACAUUAACUAGCCUAAUAACUACACUGAUGACCAUUUGCGUGCAGAUUGGCAGCAGAAUGUAACAAACUCUGCGCAGCGUAAUUAGACGGCAGGAAGGCAGCAGAAAUCCAGCAGAUUCUGCACAACUUCAGUCAGAUUUAAAAUCGCGUAUAUAUUGUCAUUUAAAUAUGCCCAUUAAAUUAACUGUUAUUACUAUUAAUAUCAUUG